This 735-nucleotide ribosomal RNA is filed under the name uncultured Alteromonas sp. Its description in RNAcentral is "bacterial SSU rRNA". It matches the Rfam family "Bacterial small subunit ribosomal RNA", at positions 138 to 874 of the family's 1533-position model. The record is from RNAcentral. Lineage: Bacteria; Pseudomonadati; Pseudomonadota; Gammaproteobacteria; Alteromonadales; Alteromonadaceae.
GGGGGAUAACAGUUGGAAACGACUGCUAAUACCGCAUAAUGUCUACGGACCAAACGGGGCUUCGGCUCCGGCGCAAAGAGAGGCCCAAGUGAGAUUAGCUAGUUGGUGAGGUAAAGGCUCACCAAGGCGACGAUCUCUAGCUGUUCUGAGAGGAAGAUCAGCCACACUGGGACUGAGACACGGCCCAGACUCCUACGGGAGGCAGCAGUGGGGAAUAUUGCACAAUGGGGGAAACCCUGAUGCAGCCAUGCCGCGUGUGUGAAGAAGGCCUUCGGGUUGUAAAGCACUUUCAGUUGUGAGGAAAGGUUGGUAGUUAAUACCUGCCAGCUGUGACGUUAACAACAGAAGAAGCACCGGCUAACUCCGUGCCAGCAGCCGCGGUAAUACGGAGGGUGCGAGCGUUAAUCGGAAUUACUGGGCGUAAAGCGGACGCAGGCGGUUUGUUAAGCUAGAUGUGAAAGCCCCGGGCUCAACCUGGGAUGGUCAUUUAGAACUGGCAGACUAGAGUCUUGGAGAGGGGAGUGGAAUUCCAGGUGUAGCGGUGAAAUGCGUAGAUAUCUGGAGGAACAUCAGUGGCGAAGGCGACUCCCUGGCCAAAGACUGACGCUCAUGUCCGAAAGUGUGGGUAGCGAACAGGAUUAGAUACCCUGGUAGUCCACACCGUAAACGCUGUCUACUAGCUGUGUGUGAAUUUAAUUCGUGCGUAGCGAAGCUAACGCGAUAAGUAGACCGCCU